Molecule: long non-coding RNA, 2312 nt
Organism: Macrobrachium nipponense
Lineage: Eukaryota; Metazoa; Arthropoda; Malacostraca; Decapoda; Palaemonidae
Exons: 3
Source: RefSeq, a predicted model, not a curated record
CUUUGACCCGGGAGCAACGAAUAACAAGUGGGUGGAACUAGCUAACGACUGCUUACAGCAUACGCCCUGAUUUGUUAGAUGUCGUUGCCUGAAGUGGUAGAUGUUCAAGAUUACCCAAUUAUGAAGAAUUAAGGUGGUCUUAAAAGGAAUCCAGAAGAAGAAGAGGCGGAGCCAGAAAUCAGAAAUUGGUCAAUAGUUAAGUUGGAACAAUGGAAAGAAUCAGUUAACUACUCACGACUGGACGCAUAACUUGUGAAGGUUUAAACUCCGUUUAUCCUGUCAUUAAGACUUGUGUGAUAGGAAAGUGAGAUUGUGUGUGUUACAAUAAUAAUUAAGAACAAAAAAAAAACACAUGUUUAACUUGCCCAGAAUUCUAAAGGAAACCGAACUCACAUAUUUUCUCUACGUGAUUUGCCUCCUGAGAGACCAACCGAGAAGAUCGAGAAUCGGCCAGUACACAGAAACAGUAGUCCAGAAGAAUAGAGAAGUUAUGUCCUGCAGCAGCACAUGAUUAGAUCAUCGAGGUUUCCCUUAGUGACUCCUAGCUCAUAAGGAAAAUAGUCAGAUAAAUUUGUUGCACAAUGGCAGUGAUAAAUGUUGGCCAUUCACAGAAUCUACAACUAUUGCAAAGAGGGUGAUUGCAGGUUCUUCAAAUAUCAAACUGCACAUGAGCAAACAACAAGCAAAAGUCCUGUAAGAUGUUUAACACCGUUCAACCUUGGCCACCUGUGUGGAAGUCGACCCCAUAUCCAAAAGGAUAAUGAGAAAAGUAAACAUUACCACAAAACAGUAUUAUUGUGACAGUGGAAUUGGUAAAUUAAAAAAACAAGCAGAAAAUUGGUUGGUGGGAAGAAAAUUUAAGAAUGUAUACAAAAAACUUGAACAUACUGUAGGUAGCAAAGAGUAUGUGAAGCUUUAUGUAGACAAUUAUGAACUAAUAAGGCAGAGGAAAACGGCAAAAAAUUGGGAAAGGCAAAAUUUCAUGUUUGUUUGAAAAAGAAAACAUUAGCCAAUUUUAUAAAGAGAAUUGUUGGGGGUAAGAAGGACGGCGUAUGUAUAGCGUAGGCAAAUUUGUUCCCACGGAUAAAGGGGAGAAAUACUCGAGUGUACACAACAGACUGUGCAAAUUAAUUCAUGAAAAAGUAGGUGCAGAAAAUUUCUUUCCAGUGGAUGAAUGGAUUACAUCGAAAAUAUGCCACAGAUGUCUAUAACCAGUGGAUAUUGUGGCAUAUAUAAGUGAACGAGAAGACACCACACAGGAGAACUCCACCACCAUCUGUGACAAAGUAUACUUGCGGGGGUUACGUCGUUGCUCCACAGAGUAAUCAUUCCAACAAAACAAUGGCAACCUUCCACAAGUUACUUGCCCAAUUGGAGGAGCAUUUAUCAACAGAGGUUGCAAUGCUGCCUACAGCAUAGCCAGUAAAGUUAUUUCUGCUGUACAUGCAUCAAGUAAUUUAUGAAGAGGCGUCAGAGCAGCAGAAAUAUUUUUGGCUUCAAUUUUGGCUGCCACUACUUGCAAGAAAGCUACACUACACCAUGCAGUACAACAACUGCGUACGUAGCACGCAGUGAUGGAUGUAAGACGUGCAUAUCGAUGUACUACACUGGUAUUGCCAAAGGUUGUCUUAGCUAAAGAAGGGAUGGCAAAGAAUUUACAAUUAUUUAUUCUCAUGAAUAAGACAUGCUUCCAGCCAGUGACACAAAUUUAUUUAUCUAUAAAAAAAAUCAUCAUCCAGCUUUCUUAGAAAGUCAUCCAUACAAGAAAUGACUGAACUGAAUGAAGUACAGUUUUGCAUAUUGGUUAGUAACCUGGGUUCCAGCUUGAUAAGGCUGUUGACUUCAUCUAUGAGGACUUUAUUAAUGUUUCCAUUUUUUGUGGGUGAGCUUAAGAGGGACAAGCACCAGAAACUACUUUGUGGCACAAAGAAGGUUAAUUGUAAGCAAGAAGUAAUGUGGAAAUAUAUAUAAAAAAAUUGAAAGCUGUUACUAGGUCCAAAAUACUUGUCACUAACUAAAGAAAGUGAAUUACAAAACGUCACAUCAAACGAUAAACAUAUACUAUACAUAUUCUUUGGUAAACAAAGUACUAAGGUGAGGGGGGAAUUAAUCUUUCCAUUACCAAGCAAAAAGGGUAAUAUCAGUAUACACUGUUAACAUCUUGCAUGUAAAAUCCAUUAUGCUUUAUUACAAACCAAUUAAAUAUUACUAACUCCUAUUAUUACCUUUUGAAAUAAUCAGCAUGAAAGUAAAUAUCAUAUAACAACAAUGAAAGUAAGUUACUAUGAACAAGAACAGUCCAUUAUUCUACA